AUUGAACGCUGGCGGUAUGCUUAACACAUGCAAGUCGAACGAUGAGAAAGAGCUUGCUCUUUCGAUUAGUGGCGGACGGGUGCGUAACGCGUAGGAAUCUACCUAUUAGUGGGGGACAACUUAGGGAAACUUAAGCUAAUACCGCAUACGCCCUACGGGGGAAAGAAGGGGAUCGCAAGACCUUUUGCUAAUAGAUGAGCCUGCGUAGGACUAGCUAGUUGGUGGGGUAAAAGCUCACCAAGGCGACGAUCCUUAACUGGUUUGAGAGAAUGAUCAGUCACACUGGAACUGAGACACGGUCCAGACUGCUACGGGAGGCAGCAGUGGGGAAUAUUGGACAAUGGGCGAAAGCCUGAUCCAGCAAUACCGCGUGUGUGAAGAAGGCCUUAGGGUUGUAAAGCACUUUCAAUUGGAAGGAAAACCUCGAAGCUAAUACCUUCGAGUUUGACAUUACCUUUAGAAGAAGCACCGGCUAACUCCGUGCCAGCAGCCGCCGUAA
This 499-nucleotide ribosomal RNA is filed under the name uncultured bacterium. RNAcentral's name for it is "partial 16S ribosomal RNA". It matches the Rfam family "Bacterial small subunit ribosomal RNA", at positions 30 to 523 of the family's 1533-position model. The record is from RNAcentral.